RNAcentral lists this transfer RNA (65 nucleotides) under Nymphes myrmeleonoides. RNAcentral describes it as "tRNA-Arg". The record is from RNAcentral. Lineage: Eukaryota; Metazoa; Arthropoda; Insecta; Neuroptera; Nymphidae.
UAAUAAGAAGCGAUAUAUUGCAAUUAGUUUCGACCUAAUUUUAGAUAUUAAAAUAUCCUUAUUAU